CGCGGCCUAUCAGCUUGUUGGUGAGGUAAUGGCUCACCAAGGCGACGACGGGUAGCCGGCCUGAGAGGGUGACCGGCCACACUGGGACUGAGACACGGCCCAGACUCCUACGGGAGGCAGCAGUGGGGAAUAUUGCACAAUGGGCGAAAGCCUGAUGCAGCGACGCCGCGUGAGGGAUGACGGCCUUCGGGUUGUAAACCUCUUUCAGCAGGGAAGAAGCCACAAGUGACGGUACCUGCAGAAGAAGCGCCGGCUAACUACGUGCCAGCAGCCGCGGUAAUACGUAGGGCGCAAGCGUUGUCCGGAAUUAUUGGGCGUAAAGAGCUCGUAGGCGGUUUGUCGCGUCUGCUGUGAAAGCCCGGGGCUUAACCCCGGGUGUGCAGUGGGUACGGGCAGACUAGAGUGCAGUAGGGGAGACUGGAAUUCCUGGUGUAGCGGUGGAAUGCGCAGAUAUCAGGAGGAACACCGAUGACGAAGGCAGGUCUCUGGGCUGUUACUGACGCUGAGGAGCGAAAGCAUGGGGAGCGAACAGGAUUAGAUACCCUGGUAGUCCAUGCCGUAAACGUUGGGCACUAGGUGUGGGGGACAUUCCACGUUUUCCGCGCCGUAGCUAACGCAUUAAGUGCCCCGCCUGGGGAGUACGG
Molecule: ribosomal RNA, 644 nt
Filed under: uncultured Actinomycetes bacterium
Lineage: Bacteria; Bacillati; Actinomycetota; Actinomycetes
Description: bacterial SSU rRNA
Rfam family: Bacterial small subunit ribosomal RNA
Source: RNAcentral